RNAcentral lists this ribosomal RNA (494 nucleotides) under uncultured bacterium. RNAcentral's name for it is "partial 16S ribosomal RNA". It matches the Rfam family "Bacterial small subunit ribosomal RNA", at positions 30 to 506 of the family's 1533-position model. The record is from RNAcentral.
UGAACGCUGGCGGCGUGCCUACUACAUGCACGUCGAGCGAACGGACGAGAAGCUUGCUUCUCUGAUGUUAGCGGCGGACGGGUGAGUAACACGUGGAUAACCUACCUAUAAGACUGGGAUAACUUCGGGAAACCGGAGCUAAUACCGGAUAAUAUUUUGAACCGCAUGGUUCAAAAGUGAAAGACGGUCUUGCUGUCACUUAUAGAUGGAUCCGCGCUGCAUUAGCUAGUUGGUAAGGUAACGGCUUACCAAGGCAACGAUGCAUAGCCGACCUGAGAGGGUGAUCGGCCACACUGGAACUGAGACACGGUCCAGACUCCUACGGGAGGCAGCAGUAGGGAAUCUUCCGCAAUGGGCGAAAGCCUGACGGAGCAACGCCGCGUGAGUGAUGAAGGUCUUCGGAUCGUAAAACUCUGUUAUUAGGGAAGAACAUAUGUGUAAGUAACUGUGCACAUCUUGACGGUACCUAAUCAGAAAGCCACGGCUAACUACGU